AAGUGUAAUAUUAGUGAUAGGCAGGAAGUGGUGUAUAAGUGUAAUAUUAGUGAUAGGCAGAAUGUGGUGUAUAAGUGUAAUAUUAGUGAUAGGCAGGAUGUGGUGGGUUAGUGUAAUAUUAGUGAUAGGCAGAAUGUGGUGUAUAAGUGUAAUAUUAGUGAUAGGCAGGAUGUGGUGGGUUAGUGUAAUAUUAGUGAUAGGCAGGAAGUGGUGUAUAAGUGUAAUAUUAGUGAUAGGCAGGAUGUGGUGUAUAAGUGUAAUAUUAGUGAUAGGCAGGAUGUGGUGGGUUAGUGUAAUAUUAGUGAUAGGCAGAAUGUGGUGUAUAAGUGUAAUAUUAGUGAUAGGCAGGAUGUGGUGAGUAUACAGCAGUAAUCAGUAGCGGGUGGGUGUAAUAAGGGGUCUGG
Long non-coding RNA from Astyanax mexicanus (Mexican tetra), 404 nucleotides. RefSeq lists it as uncharacterized. NCBI's taxonomy places the organism in Eukaryota, Metazoa, Chordata, Actinopteri, Characiformes, Acestrorhamphidae. The record is from RefSeq and is a predicted model, not a curated record. The transcript has 5 exons.